AGAGUUUGAUCCUGGCUCAGAUUGAACGCUGGCGGAAUGCCUUACACAUGCAAGUCGAACGGCAGCACGGGAGCAAUCCUGGUGGCGAGUGGCGAACGGGUGAGUAAUACAUCGGAACGUGCCCAAUCGUGGGGGAUAACGUAGCGAAAGCUACGCUAAUACCGCAUACGAUCUACGGAUGAAAGCAGGGGACUCGCAAGAGCCUUGCGCGAAUGGAGCGGCCGAUGGCAGAUUAGGUAGUUGGUGGGGUAAAGGCUCACCAAGCCUUCGAUCUGUAGCUGGUCUGAGAGGACGACCAGCCACACUGGGACUGAGACACGGUCCAGACUCCUACGGGAGGCAGCAGUGGGGAAUUUUGGACAAUGGGCGCAAGCCUGAUCCAGCAAUGCCGCGUGCAGGAUGAAGGCCUUCGGGUUGUAAACUGCUUUUGUACGGAACGAAACGGUCUCUCUUAAUACGGGGGACUAAUGACGGUACCGUAAGAAUAAGCACCGGCUAACUACGUGCCAGCAGCCGCGGUAAUACGUAGGGUGCGAGCGUUAAUCGGAAUUACUGGGCGUAAAGCGUGCGCAGGCGGUUAUAUAAGACAGAUGUGAAAUCCCCGGGCUCAACCUGGGACCUGCAUUUGUGACUGUAUAGCUAGAGUACGGUAGAGGGGGAUGGAAUUCCGCGUGUAGCAGUGAAAUGCGUAGAUAUGCGGAGGAACACCGAUGGCGAAGGCAAUCCCCUGGACCUGUACUGACGCUCAUGCACGAAAGCGUGGGGAGCAAACAGGAUUAGAUACCCUGGUAGUCCACGCCCUAAACGAUGUCAACUGGUUGUUGGGUCUUCACUGACUCAGUAACGAAGCUAACGCGUGAAGUGCCCGCCUGG
This 873-nucleotide ribosomal RNA is filed under the name uncultured bacterium. RNAcentral describes it as "bacterial SSU rRNA". It matches the Rfam family "Bacterial small subunit ribosomal RNA", at positions 9 to 873 of the family's 1533-position model. The record is from RNAcentral.